AAUCCCCUGCGGUGUUCGUCAAGGUCGUAAAUUCCUUUGAACCAAUGUCCAUGCGACAUGGUCGCCGCCCAUCGACGCCGCUGUUGCGAGCGCUCCUCGUCGAGCGCACCUGAUGCGGCAGGAACGCGACCUCCCUGAACCCAGGUUCAGGAUGCCGGCCUAACGGCACAGGCGGGGGACUG
Molecule: non-coding RNA, 182 nt
Filed under: Sulfurisoma sediminicola
Lineage: Bacteria; Pseudomonadati; Pseudomonadota; Betaproteobacteria; Nitrosomonadales; Sterolibacteriaceae
Description: 6S / SsrS RNA
Rfam family: 6S / SsrS RNA
About the family: E. coli 6S RNA was the first non coding RNA to be sequenced, but its function was unknown until recently. It consists of 184 nucleotides that fold into an extended hairpin structure with a large single-stranded internal bulge.
Source: Rfam by way of RNAcentral